GACGAACGCUGGCGGCGUGCUUAACACAUGCAAGUCGAACGGAGAUGCUCCAGCUUGCUGGAGUGGAUCAGUGGCGAACGGGUGAGUAACACGUGAGCAACCUGCCCCAGACUCCGGAAUAAGCGCUGGAAACGGCGUCUAAUACUGGAUACGAAACUGGCCCGCAUGGGCUUGGUUUGGAAAGUUUUUCGGUUUGGGAUGGGCUCGCGGCCUAUCAGCCUGUUGGUGAGGUAAUGGCUCACCAAGGCGACGACGGGUAGCCGGCCUGAGAGGGCGACCGGCCACACUGGGACUGAGACGCCGCCCAGACGCCUACGGGAGGCAGCAGUGAGGAAUAUUGCACAAUGGGCGAAAGCCUGAUGCAGCGACGCCGCGUGAGGGAUGACGGCCUUCGGGUUGUAAACCUCUUUCAGCAGGGAAGAAGCGAAAGUGACGGUACCUGCAGAAGAAGCACCGGCUAACUACGUG
Molecule: ribosomal RNA, 468 nt
Filed under: uncultured bacterium
Lineage: Bacteria
Description: partial 16S ribosomal RNA
Rfam family: Bacterial small subunit ribosomal RNA
Source: RNAcentral